AGUGAACGCUGGCGGUAUGCCUAACACAUGCAAGUCGAACGACAGCACAGUAAGAGCUUGCUCUUACGGGUGGCGAGUGGCGGACGGGUGAGGCAUACAUCAGCAUCUACUUUUUCGUGGGUGAUAACGUAGGGCAACUUACGCUAAUACCGCAUACGACCUACGGGUGAAAGCAGUGGAUCUUCGGACCUUGCGCGAUUCAAUGAGCCGAUGUCGGAUUAGCUAGUUGGCGGGGUAAAGGCCCACCAAGGCGACGAUGCGUAGCUGGUCUGAGAGGAUGAUCAGCCACACUGGAACUGAGACACGGUCCAGACUCCUACGGGAGGCAGCAGUGGGGAAUAUUGGACAAUGGGCGCAAGCCUGAUCCAGCCAUACCGCGUGGGUGAAGAAGGCCUUCGGGUUGUAAAGCCCUUUUGUUGGGAAAGAAAAGCAGCAGGUUAAUACCCCGCUGUUCUGACGGUACCCAAAGAAUAAGCACCGGCUAACUUCGUG
This 492-nucleotide ribosomal RNA is filed under the name uncultured bacterium. RNAcentral describes it as "partial 16S ribosomal RNA". It matches the Rfam family "Bacterial small subunit ribosomal RNA", at positions 29 to 507 of the family's 1533-position model. The record is from RNAcentral.